Molecule: ribosomal RNA, 466 nt
Filed under: uncultured bacterium
Lineage: Bacteria
Description: partial 16S ribosomal RNA
Rfam family: Bacterial small subunit ribosomal RNA
Source: RNAcentral
GAUGAACGCUGGCGGCGUGCUUAACACAUGCAAGUCGAACGAUGAAGCCCAGCUUGCUGGGUGGAUUAGUGGCGAACGGGUGAGUAACACGUGAGUAACCUGCCCUUAACUCUGGGAUAAGCCUGGGAAACUGGGUCUAAUACCGGAUAGGAGCGUCCACCGCAUGGUGGGUGUUGGAAAGAUUUAUCGGUUUUGGAUGGACUCGCGGCCUAUCAGCUUGUUGGUGAGGUAAUGGCUCACCAAGGCGACGACGGGUAGCCGGCCUGAGAGGGUGACCGGCCACACUGGGACUGAGACACGGCCCAGACUCCCACGGGAGGCAGCAGUGGGGAAUAUUGCACAAUGGGCGCAAGCCUGAUGCAGCGACGCCGCGUGAGGGAUGACGGCCUUCGGGUUGUAAACCUCUUUCAGUAGGGAAGAAGCGAAAGUGACGGUACCUGCAGAAGAAGCACCGGCUAACUACGUG